CAUUCUUUUGGCAGGUUGCCCAGUGCCUUGAGGCUUUGGCUAAUGGGCCCAGACGAUAAUCUCUACCAAAUGGCAGUAACCUAACAUUGGAAAAAUCCUCUCUCCUUUCUGUUAAUUCUACUGAUGUAAAGACAGAAAAAGGAAUUAAAGCGUACUUUAAAACUGAGUUUAAACUGAAAAAUUGACCUUGACUUCAUGACGCAAGUCUUAGAAUUAAGCCAGCCAUUUGUUUUGGGAGGCUGCUAGAGCUGGCUUGCUUGAUCCUCAUUCUGUUUAACGAAAUCAAGAUUUCCCUGUGCAAACUGUUCCUGUUGGUGAGGACAGGCUGCAGUGUCUGUGAUUUUUUUUGCAGAAGGGGCAAAACUAUGCUAAUGUGAUACCAGCCCACAAUUUUAUGCAAGGCCUUCCAACCAUUUGAACAGGAUUCCAGGUGCAACUCCCUGUAUUAAGUUGUUUAACAUCAGCAGGAUGAAAUCUAGAAGAAUACUACCACCCGCUGGUCUUUCCUUUUCAGGACAGGAUUUUCAAAUUUCAGGUUCUUGGAAAAUCUGCACAAAUGUCAGUAACAGAAGUCAAGGGCUUAUGUUUAAGUGAGCAUCGAUCUGCAUCGACCACAGAACUGGUACUGACGAGAAGGUCCAUUUUGUAAUUCAGUGACUCUCACUAAAGGACUCACAGGAGAAAUUUGAGAAUUUAGAGCCAACAACAAUUUUGCUUCCUCUUUUCCAACAAUGAGAGCUAUGUGAAUAAUCAUGUUUGUCUUUUUGCACAGCCUGCCAAAAGUCUUGGACUCAAAAUUCAUGUCCAGUCACAGGGAAUGCAUAAACCCUUGAAGUUGGCAAAUAUUUUCCUUCUUGUCUGCUUGGUUCUGAUAUAUCUUUCAUUUCUAUUCUUUUUGUUUUUUUUUUCAUUCUAUGUCCUGUAACUUGAGCUCAUAUGCCAAAAUAAAGUGUUUAAAACUGCUUUCUUUUGUAGGGCAGAAAUUGCCAGUAUGGGACAAAAAAUAGAAGCAUUGAGGGUGGUAGUCAAUGGACAACUGUGUUGGACAACAGUGUUGUCAUAAACCUCUUCUACCAGGUAUCGAUAGACUGUUUUGCUGCUGAUGGAGUGAAGUUCAAGGACCUAUGAUCUCUUGGUUGACCUGGAUCUGAUCUCAAAAUGAAUGCCUUCCAGUACUUUCCUUCUGUCUUUGUGUACA
Molecule: long non-coding RNA, 1198 nt
Organism: Canis lupus familiaris (dog)
Lineage: Eukaryota; Metazoa; Chordata; Mammalia; Carnivora; Canidae
Exons: 5
Source: RefSeq, a predicted model, not a curated record